AACAUUGUGCUUGCACAGAUGACGACCGGCGCACGGGUGCGUAACGCGUAUAGAACCUACCUUUUACAGAGGAAUAGCCUUUAGAAAUGAAGAUUAAUGCCUCAUAGUAUUGUAGACUGGCAUCAGUUUAUAAUUAAAGAUUUAUCGGUAAAAGAUGGCUAUGCGUCCUAUUAGUUAGUUGGUAAGGUAACGGCUUACCAAGACAGCGAUAGGUAGGGGUCCUGAGAGGGAGAUCCCCCACACUGGUACUGAGACACGGACCAGACUCCUACGGGAGGCAGCAGUGAGGAAUAUUGGACAAUGGAGGAGACUCUGAUCCAGCCAUGCCGCGUGUAGGAAGAAUGCCCUAUGGGUUGUAAACUACUUUUAUACAGGAAGAAACACUGGUAUGUAUACCA
Molecule: ribosomal RNA, 398 nt
Filed under: uncultured Polaribacter sp.
Lineage: Bacteria; Pseudomonadati; Bacteroidota; Flavobacteriia; Flavobacteriales; Flavobacteriaceae
Description: bacterial SSU rRNA
Rfam family: Bacterial small subunit ribosomal RNA
Source: RNAcentral